GAGAGAACAAGGGGCUCAAGAGAGAGACCGGAGAGAGAGCUCGAGAGGGUAGAGGACGAGCUAAAGGGAGAGAGCAAGACUGAAGGACAGCUUCGCCGUCACCGGUCGUCUGCCCGAGAGUCGUCGUCCACCGCGGCGCUCCCCUUUGAACCAGGUGGGUCAUUCCCGAGUACGUCUGCCCUGUUUUGGUGGGGCGUCAGGCUGAAGCUUGUGGUCGACCAGUUCGCACGAGCUUCAGUCCCGAUCCCCGCCCGAAACUCCGUUGUGCUCGUGUUCAUUCCUCCCACAGCAUACGUGUGCUUUUUGUAGUGCUUAAUGCAAAUAUCUGUUUGUGUUUGGUGUUAUGGCCGAGACUUGUCAUUUUGGUUUAAACUCAAGGUAUAUGCUGAUAAACUUGUUCCCGAGUCGAUCCAGAAUAGCGUUUCUGAAUCAUGUGAUGAUCUUGGCCUGAACCCGAGCCCCGAUCGAAUCUAUGUUUACCCCCCUAGUUACUGCGUCUUAGGUGUUUGACAAAAUGCCUGAUUAAAUGGCCG
RNAcentral lists this long non-coding RNA (533 nucleotides) under Eucalyptus grandis. Its description in RNAcentral is "long non-coding RNA (EGRA_LNC005996)". The record is from RNAcentral. Lineage: Eukaryota; Viridiplantae; Streptophyta; Magnoliopsida; Myrtales; Myrtaceae.